This 585-nucleotide long non-coding RNA is filed under the name Ornithorhynchus anatinus (platypus). RNAcentral's name for it is "lncRNA (ENSOANG00000034737.2)". The record is from RNAcentral. Lineage: Eukaryota; Metazoa; Chordata; Mammalia; Monotremata; Ornithorhynchidae.
CUUACACAGGUGCCCUGGUGUCUCAUUUUGAUAAUGAAAUAGAAAUGAAAGGGGCCUGCAGUGUCUUUAAAUCAAAAGGCACAGAGGUUACUUUUAAGUAUCUCAAGGGACACUGUUCUUCCCUCGAAAACACAGUCUGCUGUUCUACAACGUGAAACAUCUUGGUAAAGAGAGGUUUCUCCGCUCGGGAGCCUAGAUGUCCGCUCCAGCAAGCCUUUUGAGGCUCUCCCACUGAGGGCAGAGGUGAAAACGGAUUUACAGUUCCACUGGGAGAGCAGCAGUCUGGGAACUACAAAUCAAAAAGCCUGGGAUGCCUGCAUGUCUGGAACGAGGAGAGAGGAAAACCAAGUUUUCGGCUCGCCAGACUUUGCUCCUAUUUUUCCCCGCUCCGGGACUCCCCCACCGAGCCGCUUCUCGCCGUCCGCAAGUCGUUACGGAGAACUGUCAGUCUGAGAAUAGAGAUGUUGGGAGGAUGAUGUCACUCAGCGGAGGUCUAAUCACCUGACCGCGGCAAGCCACAGACCUUCUCGGCCCAACCGCGGCGGUGGACGGCUAGCUGGAUCGAGGCGACGCUCUGAGGAAAAC